CCUACGGGAGGCUGCAGUGGGGGAUAUUGCACAAUGGGGGAAACCCUGAUGCAGCGAAGCAGCGUGAGUGAAGAAGUCUUUAGGGGUGUAAAGCUCUAUCAGCAAGGGAGAAAAUGAAAGUACGUGAGCCAGAAGCCCCGGCUAACUACGUGCCAGCAGCCGCGGUAAUACGUAGGGGGCAGGGGUUAUCCGGAUUUACUGGGUGUAAAGGGAGCGUAGAGGGUUUGUUAAGUCUGGAGUGAAAGCCCGGGGCCCAACCGCGGGACUGCAAUUGAAACUGUCUGACUUGAGUACAGGCGGGGCAGGCGGAAUUCCUGGUGUAGCGGUGAAAUGCUUAGAUAUCAGGAGGAACACCGGCUGCGAAGGCGGCCUGCUAAACUGAAACUGACGUUGAGGCUCGAAAGUGUGGGUAGCAAACAGGAUUAGAUACCCCUGUAGUC
This 440-nucleotide ribosomal RNA is filed under the name uncultured bacterium. RNAcentral describes it as "partial 16S ribosomal RNA". It matches the Rfam family "Bacterial small subunit ribosomal RNA", at positions 338 to 795 of the family's 1533-position model. The record is from RNAcentral.